This 301-nucleotide ribosomal RNA is filed under the name uncultured bacterium. RNAcentral's name for it is "partial 16S ribosomal RNA". It matches the Rfam family "Bacterial small subunit ribosomal RNA", at positions 509 to 807 of the family's 1533-position model. The record is from RNAcentral.
CAGCCGCCACGGGAAUACGAAGGGGGCUAGCGUUGUUCGGAUUUACUGGGCGUAAAGCGCACGUAGGCGGACUUUUAAGUCAGGGGUGAAAUCCCGGGGCUCAACCCCGGAACUGCCUUUGAUACUGGAAGUCUUGAGUAUGGUAGAGGUGAGUGGAAUUCCGAGUGUAGAGGUGAAAUUCGUAGAUAUUCGGAGGAACACCAGUGGCGAAGGCGGCUCACUGGACCAUUACUGACGCUGAGGUGCGAAAGCGUGGGGAGCAAACAGGAUUAGAUACCCCUGUAGUCCCUGUCUCUUAUAC